RNAcentral lists this ribosomal RNA (816 nucleotides) under Cyphoderris monstrosa. RNAcentral describes it as "SSU rRNA". It matches the Rfam family "Eukaryotic small subunit ribosomal RNA", at positions 508 to 1238 of the family's 1831-position model. Lineage: Eukaryota; Metazoa; Arthropoda; Insecta; Orthoptera; Prophalangopsidae. The record is from RNAcentral.
AUCGGNAUGAGUACACUUUAAAUCCUUUAACGAGUAUCCAUUGGAGGGCAAGUCUGGUGCCAGCAGCCGCGGUAAUUCCAGCUCCAAUAGCGUAUAUUAAAGUUGUUGCGGUUAAAAAGCUCGUAGUUGGACUUGUGUCCCACGCUGUCGGUUCACCGCCCGUCGGUGUCUAACUGGCAUGGUUCGUGGGACGUCCUGCCGGUGGUGGCGAGUCGAAAGCGAGCGCCCGUUACGACUUCGGUUGUGCGGGGUCAGCUCGCCGUAGACGGACCCCGAUGAAAUCCUACUGCGGUGCUCUUCACCGAGUGUCGAGGUGGGCCGGCACGUUUACUUUGAACAAAUUAGAGUGCUUAAAGCAGGCCUGUUGCGCCUGAAUACUGUGUGCAUGGAAUAAUGGAAUAGGACCUCGGUUCUAUUUUGUUGGUUUUCGGAACCCGAGGUAAUGAUUAAUAGGGACAGGCGGGGGCAUUCGUAUUGCGACGUUAGAGGUGAAAUUCUUGGAUCGUCGCAAGACGGACCGAAGCGAAAGCAUUUGCCAAGUAUGCUUUCAUUAAUCAAGAACGAAAGUUAGAGGUUCGAAGGCGAUCAGAUACCGCCCUAGUUCUAACCAUAAACGAUGCCAGCUAGCGAUCCGCCGAAGUUCCUCCGAUGACUCGGCGGGCAGCUCCCGGGAAACCAAAGCUUUUGGGUUCCGGGGGAAGUAUGGUUGCAAAGCUGAAACUUAAAGGAAUUGACGGAAGGGCACCACCAGGAGUGGAGCCUGCGGCUUAAUUUGACUCAACACGGGAAACCUCACCAGGCCCGGACACUGGAAGG